Haplochromis burtoni (Burton's mouthbrooder) is the source of this 5123-nucleotide RNA transcript. RefSeq lists it as uncharacterized. Lineage: Eukaryota; Metazoa; Chordata; Actinopteri; Cichliformes; Cichlidae. The record is from RefSeq and is a predicted model, not a curated record. The transcript is spliced from 4 exons.
AGUCAGUUCAGACGUGUUAAAAUCUGGAUAGUUUUGGAUUCAUUCAUUGUAUCUGCAUGUCUGUUUAUUUUCUACUAAAACAUAUACUAUGACUGCUUGUUUUUCUACCUGUGCUUUGUACUUUAAACGAAACACUGUUCUCUCAUGCUGAUUUUAAACUCCCCCUUUCUUGUGUUGUUAUUACUCCUACAGUACCAUUCGUAAUGUGAAAAUUCAGUUCCAGAAGAACUGAGUCUGAAAGCUCCGUGUCAGAUUCCUGCUACAGAAGUCAGGCUGGAGGUAAAAAGAAGGUUUCACUUCCUGUGAGAGUUACUUGGUAUUUGUGGUUUAUCGCACACGACAUAAUCACCGCCUGAAGUAGGAAGUGUAGAGCACUUCUGUGUCAGUCCAUCAGAGCUGCUUUCAGACGACUCCGUCUUAUUGUGGAUGCUGAAGCUGAUCAUGGUUCUCCUGUGGAUGAUCCUGUUGGUGCUUCUGCUCUGUGCAGAGGCCGAGAACAUGACCGAGGUCAGAGGAGAGCUGGGGACCAAUGUCACUCUAACCUGCUCCAAUCAGACAUCAGACACAUACUGGUACAUGGAGAUCUACAGUCAGUUCAGAGCAGGUAUCGGCCGCAGUUUUUCUUCAGCAGACUCUACCUACUACUCUCCUGAUUUUGAAACCAAAUUUUCAAUCCUGGGAAACAAACUCGUGAUUAAAAACUUCACAACAGAGGACUGCAGGCUUUACUUCUGUGCCAUCAAGAGAGGAGGCAGCGUUCAGUUUGUGGAGAGUUUCAGCCUCGUCUCAGAUAUCUGUCCAACCCCUGACCCUGAGUGUGGAGUGUUGCACAGGCAGACUUUCCUCGUCAGCUCAGUGAUCCUGAACUUUGUGCUCUUUUUAGUACCCUUACGUAGAUGUAAUCCAUGGGGGCUGAAAGCCGACGCUGUACAGACAGUACAGCACAAACGUACUGCUCACUGCCCCAGCAGGCUUCAGCAGUGCUUCUGUUGUCCAGGUGUUGUCCCAGAUGUUGGAAGAUUUCUCUGCAGAGCGGAGAAAUAUGUUGUAUGUGAUGAGUGCUGAUGUGAGUGUGAAGGUGAAGUGACUCCUCUGACGGUCUGUUGGCAGGUCUGAGUUGUGUAUCACUGUCUCUGAAGAGGAGAAUCAGCAAAUAUCAGGCAAACCUCCCUCCAGCUGGGACCAGUGAGAGGCUGGAGGCUCCACAGUACGAGGAGAUCCAGUUCCCCACUCCCUCUGCUGCUCCGCUUCAAGAGUGUGUUUAUUACAAAAUUCAGCUUCCUCGCUCCACACUACCUCAAAGCUGAUGGACACACCUGUACAGGUGGAUGAUACCUGCUGGACAGAGGUCAGUCUGAUAACUGAAGACUUGUUGCUCUGCCGCUCGAAGGAGGAUUUAUUUUUUCAUUUCUGGUUUGAGUUGUUGGACCAAAAGUUCUGAAUCAAAAUUUUCCACAAACUUGAUGAAAGUGCUGCAAGAUUAAUUUUAGUCAGAGACAAUCUGCUCUGCUUCUGAGUUGAGAUGGACCCAAGAAUGUGACAACCUUUAGCCAAACCUGCUUUAAGGUGCUUCAGGAUUUAACACCAUAACUCAAUGCUGCUGUGAAAACCUGUAAAUAUGAAACUCCAACAUUUAAUAUUUAUUUGUUCUCUUAUAGUUUGUAUCUGUUUAUCAGUUUUUGUUGUUUUGUUUCAGCUGUUUUGUUGUUUAUGCUGUUUUGAAAGCACAGAUUUUAAACACAGUCUCUUUCCCUAAAAGGUCAGCAUGAUGAUUAAGUAUGACAACAGAAAGCUGCAUUUUACAAUUAAAUGUCAAACAGAACUGAAACCAGGACAAAGACAAAAUAUCACAUGUUGACUGUGAGAAAUGUGAUUUUUGAAAGACAUAUUUUUUUUAAUUUGUUGCAGCAUCAAAUUUAAAAAUAAUGUUGUGAGAAGCUGUCAAAAUUACUGAGCCAUCCAUUUUCCUCUGCUUAUCCAUUUUAAGUAUGCAGGAGUCUAUACCAGCUGUCAUAGGGCUAAAGGAGGGGUACACGCUGGACAGAUCACCAGUCUGUCACAAUAACAUGUAACAAAAUUAAAUGUGUUUUUUUAAAAGCAUCCCUGGUAAACACUGAAGUUCUCCAGAAAGACUUUGUUCACAAAUAACUAAUUCAUCCACAUUAAUAAUCUCAGUUUGAACAUUUGGGCUGUUGAUUUAAAAUUGAUUUAAAAGAUUAUAUGGUCUUUGCAAAUUAUUGCAUAACAGGUUUGUUUUAGUAUAAGAAUAUGUAAAAGACCUUUCUACAUACCUGUGGCAUUAUUCUUUUGUUCUGUGAAAAUACACUGCGAUCAUUUUCAGUUUGAUUACAGCAUUUAUUUUUGGUUUAGGCAUUCGUGUUGUUAUUUAACACAAAUAGAACUUGAGUUCACACCAGUGAUUUGUUUGUUUGAAAGAGAAAAUGUGGUUGGAAGUAUUUCUUUGUAAUGUUUAAUAUGAACCUAUUAAACAUUUGAGAACAACAAGGGACAGAAACAAAUCUGGAUGAUAUUAUUUAAAAAAAGAGUUUCACAAUGUUCCUCUUUCCUCAAGGUCAUGUGAGUGUUUGUUGGUCAGAUUUUGCAGGAAACUAUUCAGUGCUUUCCUCACACGUUCUGAAAACAACAGCAAGUGACAACCUGUAAAAACAAUUUCAGUUGUUGCUUCUCAGUAAAAUGCCAGCUUCCUGUUUCCAUGUAUUCUGACUAUGUUGGGCCCCAUCCUGCUCCAACCAGUACAAACAGGUCACGUGUCAUGUCUGGUAGGCAGGAUUUGGACCCAAAUGUAGGACCCAGGAGACAGGAAAUACAUUUAAAAGGCAGCUUUAAUGCUAAAUUCCAAUGAAAAUGUUGCCCAGGGAUUCAAAAACUAUACAGAAAUGAGACACACACAAAUGUAAUGAGGAAAAACACAAAAAAGCUGAAUAAAGCUGAAGGAAUAAAUAAACAAGAUGAUGAGGGCAAACAGGAGAUACCUGGGAGGGUAGUUUUACUAACUGAGAAAAUAAGAGAAGGGGUGUGAAACUAAAUACAAAGACAAGAGACAAAACACCAAACAAAAUAAAGCAGGAAGUAACUGAACUUGUAAACAGAAACACAGGCAGGCAGGAAGCCGACAAAAUCAGGAAAAACAUAAUUGCAAAUUAUAGAGCCAGGAAUGAGAAUAAGAGAAAUAACUCUGAAGUACAAAUGAGCUAAAAUACCAAACUCAAAAUGGCAAAACAAAGAAGAAACUACACAGAAACAUAAAAUGGGGGGGAAAUAAAAAAAAGUGAAGGUACUACAAUAACUGAAUCUGAAUGACCAAAAGUCCCAAAGAGGUUAGCAAAACGAGCAGGGAUGAGAGAAGAUGGGGCAAAAACAGGUCCAGAUGGCAGAUCAAGAAUGAUGAUAUUUGUUAAUCUGAAUUGAGAAAUCAUUGGAUUUAUGUGACUUACACCAGUGAUAAAAAGUCUUUAUCAUGUCCUAAAAUUAAUCCUUUACAACCUGAGAUGAACAAGAACACUCAAACAAAGCCCAAAUUCAGAAACAGCAUGUAGAAAAACUGAGUUUAAUGAUCUCUCACAUUCAAUUCUGGGUCACUCUUCUUUACAAAGUUCCUUUGAUUGGGACUUGGAGGCAUUCGUUUAUACGCGGCUCUCUGAAGGGCCCACCACAGUAUUUCAAUCAGGUUGAGGUCUGACCUUUGAUUGGCCCAUUGCUGAACUUGAUUCUUUUCUUUUUUAGCUGUUCUGUUGGAGAUUUGCUGCACGCCUGAGCUGCGGCUGAGCUUAGAUAGAUAGCAUCGAUAUUUGGCUCUAGAAUACUUGCAUGGGCAUGCAGAGGAGUUCAUGGUCAACUCGAUGACUGUAAGGUCCCCAGGUCUCAUGACUGCAAAGCAAUCCCAAAUCAUCACCCUUCCACCGUGCUAACAGUUGACAUGAGGUUCUUGUGCUGACAUGUGUGUUUGGUUUUCCCCAGGUGUGAUGCUGUGCACUAUCGCUGAACAUAGACGCUUUUGUCUUAUAUGUCCAAAGAGCAUUAAUUUAGAUGUUUUGUAGCUUGUUUUAAUGCAUCUUCACUUUAACCCUUGUUGGCAUGUUCUUUUUAGAGUGGCUUCUUCAUUACUUUCAUAAAUAAGGCCUCAUGUCUAGUGGAGUGUUUAAAGUUACCAGUGCCACAUCAGUUUGUGGGGUUGAAUUUUUGCAGCAUUCAGAGCUCUAGUUCCUGUUUCUGCAGCAAGCUUCAGCCACAAGUUUAUCAUCACUGUAUAUGUACUUUAAACCACGCAGAAUAACGACAAUGAUCAUGCAUUUGUAUCAGUUGGUUUAGAAAGAAAACAAAAAGCAAACGCAAAACACACAUUUAUUUAUCUACAUUACCAAAACAUACCAAAUAUUUUCUCCUAGCAUAAUCCUACAGGAUCACAUUCACAUGUUGUUCAUAGAGUUUACUUUGAGCCUUAUUCACGUUUGUCUUUGAAGAAUAAAGCGCAUUAAGCACAGCCUGCAUUUGUGCUGAGUCUUUUUUUUUUUUAGUUAUGAUGGUAGUUCAGAAAUUUCCCCUUAAGAACUUAUUGAGUUCAGAAUAGAAACCUUUUGAACAAUUAGCCAAUCUCAAAAUGUUUAGGAACUGAGAGGCAAGUCAGUCAAAAGAGGAACAUCAGUAGAUACACAAAGGGACCCGCAAGUAACAUAAAGAACAUAAAGACGAAGAGAAAGUGGUGUAAAAACACCACAUGAUUCUUAUCAUUUCUUUGUGUGGGAGAAUAAUGAGGAAGAGCUCAAGGAACCAGUGAUGUCACACACACACAACACAAUGGCAGAGCAGCAAUAGAAAGCUCAAAAGCUUUUACAAAGAAAGAGAAAAAGCCGGCAACAAAUUUCACCUAGAGAAUAUUUAGUUUGAAACUAUGCUAAUUAUCAGCUCUUAAAUCUGCUUUACUUGGGACAGAAACAUGCUUCAGUGCAAAACAACAAUGUAAUGACAGCCAAUCAAAACAUAUCAAAGUAAAAUUAGGAUUCAAUUGUACAUUUACUGUAAAUUCAGAGCUGUGGGUUACCAGCAGGUGAAUGUGAUGCUAGGUGAGGACAAGACAAGAAAAUCAACUCAUACCUGCAGCUCAG